ACGUCACUCCUGAAGGGUUGACAGAAUCCCAUCAAAAUUCAAGUUAAGCUAUAUAUAUAUUGUAUUCAAAGACUAGCAAUGUAGUUUGAGCUUCAUUUGUCAGUGACAAGCAGGUAUAAAUGAUAAGUUGCAUUAAGGCAGCCUUUCUAUGACAUCAGUAGGAGCAGAUAAACUUUACAUAAACAGAAACUAGAGAUGUAAAUUAUGGAAAGUGAGGGAAAUAUCCUUCUUAUAACUUUCAGCACAUAACAACUAUUAUAUAUCAUACAAGUUCACAUGCUUACUUAACAUAUUACUUGAGAUGUAAAUUAUGGAAUGCGAGGGAAAUACCCUUCUUAUAACUUUCAGCACAUAACAACUGCUAUAUAUCAUACAAGUUCACAUGGUUACUUAACAUAUUACUGCAGCACGUCACUCCUGAAGGGUUGACAGAAUCCCAUCAAAAUUCAAGUUAAGCUAUAUAUAUAUUGUAUUCAAAGACUAGCAAUGAAGUUUGAGCUUCAUUUGUCAGUGACAAGCAGGUAUAAAUGAUAAGUUGCAUUAAGGCAGCCUUUCUAUGACAUCAGUAGGAGCAGAUAAACUUUACAUAAACAGAAACUAGUGAAAUCUCUAACAAAGCAAAUGUGCAUCAACAAUAAUGUAAUUCCAAUUUCGCAAACGAGUAUUUCCAUUUUGUCGAAGAACCAAUCCAAUUCUAGGCCUUGAUUAAAAAUUGCAGAAGCCCAUAACUUCCAAGUUUAUGGCACGACGACAAAAUUAAACACAUCCCAAGGUAUGUAUAAGCUGACAAGGAAUAAGAAACUUCAAGCUGGUAUCUUAAUGGCAUGAACUGUUAUACUCAGAUAUUCUAUCCAGCAUAGAAGUGAAGAAAUUUAAGAGUUAGCAUCUUCAUGUUUGGAUUCACCACCGACGAAUAAGUCAAAAACUUUGACAGCUACCUAAAAGAGAACAAGCGAUGGAAAAUUUUCUACGCUUUCCUUUCGUUUCCAUCCUUUUCUGUAGUUUCAGAAUGUUAAGGAAAUGGACCUUAGGUCAAACUCAACCCUGAAAAACUAGCUCAUAAGGGGAAGACUGCCCAAGACCCUUUUUUUUAUAAGGUAAAUAAUUUACAACAAUUAGGAUAAACCUCGUAUACAAGCUGUACAACCAAAGAAGAGGACCUACACCAAAAAUAUAGUUCUCAAUAUAGGAGAUCCAAGCAUCUAUACAAAUAGGGACCUCAUGAGUACACCAAGAAGAAACUAGAAACAAAAGACUACUUUGUAGUUUUACAAACUCUUGUUCUACUCCUUCAAAUGCCCUCUUAUUUCUCUUUCCAAAUAACCCAUAUGAUUGCAAUGGGGGUAACACUCCAUGCCCUUGGACUUCUCUCUGCCCUCUUGUGAGCCCAACUAUCCAACGCCUUCUUCACUAAACCUGGCAUCACUCAUCGCACCCCAAACAAAUUAAUAACCACCUGCCACAAACGGUUAGCCACUUGAAAAUGCAAUAGUAGAUAAUCUGCAUGUUCAUCCGAGCUUUUACACAUGAAGCACCAACUGGCAUACGAGAUCAUCACUUUUCUCAGAUUUUCUGAUGUCAAAAUCACUUCCCUAUUACUUCCCUUGUCACCAACCACACAAAGAAACAUCCCUUUCGUGGUGCUCUGGGAAUCCAAGUAGAGCAAUGAGGGAAAAUCCAAUCCUCUCACUAAUAACCUCUUACAAAUGAGAUUUGACAGUGGAUAAUCCAUCUAUACUCUAUUGCCUAAGACCAUACAAGGAGACUAUAGUCUAUUCUCUCAACUAAUAUGAAACAUUAAACACAGGGCCCCCCACGCCCAAGGGUGGACAUCUGUAGUGCGGACACAUAACAUGGAAUCCAACGUUCCAUAAACCAAGAAUUGAGAUGGGCCCGACUCUGAUACCAUACUAAGAAAAUAAACCUUGGGCCUAACUCAAUCAAAAGGAGCCAGCCCAACACCUGAGGACUAUCCAAGAUUAUAUAAAGAGACAACUACUCAUUACCUUAACCAAUGUGGGACUACUUAACAUAGAAACAAGGCUGAGACAAAAAAGCAAGACUAAAUUUUCCUCGAGGGAAUGGAUGGGGAGGAAAUUCCAGGAAAGCACAUUACUUUCAUGGCGCAACAAGCACACAAGCUAAACUACUCUAGCAAUGAACGUACUGAUCGAACGGAUCAUCUGUGUAAUUCACCCUCUCAUACCAAAUUGGUGAUGCCUAGCAAUAUUGUUGAGUUGUACCACAUCGGAGGGAUUUGAGGUCAUUGGUCUCCUUAUAUGGCUUGGGCAAUCCUCACCUCAUANNNN
This 2309-nucleotide long non-coding RNA is filed under the name Nicotiana benthamiana. RNAcentral describes it as "long non-coding RNA (NBEN_LNC034817)". Lineage: Eukaryota; Viridiplantae; Streptophyta; Magnoliopsida; Solanales; Solanaceae. The record is from RNAcentral.